GAUCAUCACCUUUAACCUUGCUUUGUAAUCACAUUAUUCUCCUGCUUAAAACAGUUGAGUGACUUACCUUAUCCUGCAGGAUGAAGGCCAACCUCCUUGAUGUGUUUCCAAGGCCAUCCACCUUCCUCCUCUGGCCUUACCAUUGGUCAGGGUCCAGAGGGCUCCCAACAUGGAGGAGGACGACCUAAGCCCACACUGCCCUCAGAAUGAACGAAAGCUGAAGUCCAGCUCUGGCACUCAGAGAUCUGGGGACAUUCUGUUCCUGCUGCUACCUUCUCACUG
Molecule: long non-coding RNA, 282 nt
Organism: Fukomys damarensis (Damara mole-rat)
Lineage: Eukaryota; Metazoa; Chordata; Mammalia; Rodentia; Bathyergidae
Exons: 3
Source: RefSeq, a predicted model, not a curated record